GGCGGCCGCCGCCGGACCUGCCCGCACCUGUCACUAGCGAAAGAACCAGCUCGCGGCUCCCGCCCACUUCUCCACUAUCCUCGGGCAACCGCGGGCAUCUCAACCCCUUUCUCUUACCAGGUGUCCCCUUUCCGGAGCGAGGUUUUGAGCAGCGUCGCGAUGUCAGACCGCUGGGUGUCCAGAUCCGCCGCUCCGCCUUCCGCCAUCUUCUUCCACUAGCGGUAGGGGAGGUGGCAGCGACGGCGGCGGCACGCCCCAGAGCAUUAUGGGAAUGGCGUCC
RNAcentral lists this long non-coding RNA (280 nucleotides) under Homo sapiens (human). RNAcentral describes it as "HSALNT0190376". The record is from RNAcentral. Lineage: Eukaryota; Metazoa; Chordata; Mammalia; Primates; Hominidae.